AGACAAUCUUUCCUUUCUUUUUUGUGUUAACUAAUUUGUUCCACCCUCAAACAGUUUCUGAAAAGGUCCCGGGGACCCCAACAUCUCUCCAUGCCAGAACCAUCGGUGCAGGCGGAUGCCAGAGUUUCCCAGACAGAUGGGGAAACCAACAUGGGACAAUUCAAACAGGAAGUGACCAGAGCCCAAGUCACUGCUUCAGCUGACUCCUGUGGCUGUUCCUUUCUUCUCCAUGACAAAAGAGCUACAUUUUCUCAGGACUGGGUGCCACCUGCCAGGACUAGAAGCCCUGUACCCCAUGACUGAGGAUGGGAGCAAUUCAGGGUCUCCCACGCCACACUGGUGCCACUGUGUCACCUCCACCCCAAUCAGAGGUCAUAUUAAGUGACUCAUUUCUUCACGGGUUCCUUGUCUGUCUCUGCCCACGAAGAGAUUGGCUCCACAAGUCGACAGCCCAGUUUAUAUCUCAUCCAUCAUCCUUUAGACAAUGACUGAGACACAGCUUAGAACUCACUCCCUGUUUGUUGAUGAAACCAAUAAACAAAUGGUCUGCC
RNAcentral lists this long non-coding RNA (551 nucleotides) under Heterocephalus glaber (naked mole-rat). RNAcentral's name for it is "lncRNA (ENSHGLG00000036775.1)". Lineage: Eukaryota; Metazoa; Chordata; Mammalia; Rodentia; Bathyergidae. The record is from RNAcentral.